This is a non-coding RNA of Angiostrongylus costaricensis, 72 nucleotides long. NCBI's taxonomy places the organism in Eukaryota, Metazoa, Nematoda, Chromadorea, Rhabditida, Metastrongylidae. The record is from Rfam.
GCGUUUGUAUUGAGAUGGUUAGCAUGGAUGCCUUCCAAGCAUUCGACGGGGGUUCGAUUCCCCCUAAACGCA